UCCCCUUUAGCCUCCUUUGUUUUUAAAUCAUUGAUUUCUGUUCUGGUUUGUUUUGAUUUGUAGUAAACGUUACAUCUGCAUGGACAGUUACUCUAUACCAUCAGCUGGAGGUCAGAUACAUCGAGAAUCUUUCUAAAAUCCUAUAUGUACCUGUUCUGCUGGUGAAGGUAGGAAAUGGAAAAAUCAUAAAUGCAUCUGAUGAGGAUGGGACCCACCUGUAUCUAUCUAUACCUCUUUGGCACAGUUUUGGAAUGAAGUAGACGAUCAGGAGAGAGCAGCCAUCAGUAAGUGUCGUAUGAAAAUUAUGGA
RNAcentral lists this long non-coding RNA (309 nucleotides) under Anser cygnoides (Swan goose). RNAcentral describes it as "lncRNA (ENSACDG00005017789.1)". Lineage: Eukaryota; Metazoa; Chordata; Aves; Anseriformes; Anatidae. The record is from RNAcentral.